This 433-nucleotide ribosomal RNA is filed under the name uncultured bacterium. RNAcentral's name for it is "partial 16S ribosomal RNA". It matches the Rfam family "Bacterial small subunit ribosomal RNA", at positions 29 to 507 of the family's 1533-position model. The record is from RNAcentral.
AACGAACGCUGGCGGCAUGCCUAACACAUGCAAGUCGAACGAGACCUUCGGGACUAGUGGCGCACGGGUGCGUAACGCGUGGGAACCUGCCCUUAGGUUCGGAAUAACUCCCCGAAAGGGGUGCUAAUACCGGAUAAUGUCUUCGGACCAAGGAUUUAUCGCCUUUGGAUGGGCCAGAGUUGGAUUAGCUAGUUGGUACGGUAAAAGCCUACUACGGCGACGAUCCAUAGCUGGUCUGAGAGGAUGAUCAGCCACACUGGGACUGAGACACGGCCCAGACUCCUACGGGAGGCAGCAGUGGGUAAUAGUGGACAAUGGGCGGAAGCCUGAUCCAGCAAUGCCGCGUGAGUGAUGAAGGCCUUAGAGUUGUAAAGCUCUUGUACCCGGGAUGAUAAUGACAGUACCGGGAGAAUAAGCUCCGGCUAACUCCGUG